RNAcentral lists this ribosomal RNA (800 nucleotides) under uncultured bacterium. RNAcentral describes it as "bacterial SSU rRNA". It matches the Rfam family "Bacterial small subunit ribosomal RNA", at positions 8 to 820 of the family's 1533-position model. The record is from RNAcentral.
AGAGUUUGAUCCUGGCUCAGGAUGAACGCUGGCGGCGUGCUUAACACAUGCAAGUCGAACGAUGAUCCCAGCUUGCUGGGGGAUUAGUGGCGAACGGGUGAGUAACACGUGAGUAACCUGCCCUUAACUCUGGGAUAAGCCUGGGAAACUGGGUCUAAUACCGGAUAUGACUCCUCAUCGCAUGGUGGGGGGUGGAAAGCUUUAUUGUGGUUUUGGAUGGACUCGCGGCCUAUCAGCUUGUUGGUGAGGUAAUGGCUCACCAAGGCGACGACGGGUAGCCGGCCUGAGAGGGUGACCGGCCACACUGGGACUGAGACACGGCCCAGACUCCUACGGGAGGCAGCAGUGGGGAAUAUUGCACAAUGGGCGAAAGCCUGAUGCAGCGACGCCGCGUGAGGGAUGACGGCCUUCGGGUUGUAAACCUCUUUCAGUAGGGAAGAAGCGAAAGUGACGGUACCUGCAGAAGAAGCGCCGGCUAACUACGUGCCAGCAGCCGCGGUAAUACGUAGGGCGCAAGCGUUAUCCGGAAUUAUUGGGCGUAAAGAGCUCGUAGGCGGUUUGUCGCGUCUGCCCGUGAAAGUCCGGGGCUCAACUCCGGAUCUGCGGUGGGUACGGGCAGACUAGAGUGAUGUAGGGGAGACUGGAAUUCCUGGUGUAGCGGUGAAAUGCGCAGAUAUCAGGAGGAACACCGAUGGCGAAGGCAGGUUUCUGGGCAUUAACUGACGCUGAGGAGCGAAAGCAUGGGGAGCGAACAGGAUUAGAUACCCUGGUAGUCCAUGCCGUAAACGUUGGGCACUAGG